Molecule: unclassified non-coding RNA, 253 nt
Filed under: uncultured Planctomycetales bacterium
Lineage: Bacteria; Pseudomonadati; Planctomycetota; Planctomycetia; Planctomycetales
Description: contains 16S-23S intergenic spacer region
Rfam family: Bacterial small subunit ribosomal RNA
Source: RNAcentral
UACGAACUGCGCGAACGUUAUUCGGAAUCACUGGGCUUACAGGGUGCGUAGGCGGCUUUUCAGGUCCGAUGCGAAAUCCCACAGCUCAACUGUGGAACGGCAUUGGAAACCGGAGAGCUCGAGUGAGCUAGAGAUGCACGGAACUUUCGGUGGAGCGGUGAAAUGUGUUGAGAUCGGAAGGAACACCAGAGGCGAAAGCGGUGCAUUGGGGCUUGUCUGACGCUGAGGCACGAAAGCCAGGGGAGCGAACGGG